This 290-nucleotide long non-coding RNA is filed under the name Medicago truncatula (barrel medic). Its description in RNAcentral is "lncRNA gene34138". The record is from RNAcentral. Lineage: Eukaryota; Viridiplantae; Streptophyta; Magnoliopsida; Fabales; Fabaceae.
UUGAAGUUCGUUGACAUGCAAAUAGUUUCAAUAAGUAAGAAAAUGAAUAGUACACAAAAAAGUCCUACACAUUACGGAAAACUUCUCUGUAGACCACAUUUGAUGCAACAUCGGUAUCAUCGUCGUCGUCAUUAAUCAAUAUUUUUAAACCACCCCUCGAAGUAACCCGUGAUAUUGCGACGUACAACUGUCCAUGUGAAAAAAUAGGAGACGGUAGGUAGACACCAACAUGUUCUAGCGACCGACCCUGACUCUUGUUAAUAGUCAUUGCAAAUGAGACAGAUAUCGGA